This is a small nucleolar RNA of Coffea eugenioides, 107 nucleotides long. NCBI's taxonomy places the organism in Eukaryota, Viridiplantae, Streptophyta, Magnoliopsida, Gentianales, Rubiaceae. The record is from RefSeq and is a predicted model, not a curated record.
UAUUGGUGGUGAGGACAUUGAGAAAGUAGUAGUUUAAAGCGCUCCCAUGCUUCAUGUAUUGGCUCUCCUUCUAUUUGAGUAAAAGUACAAAUCUUGUUUCUUAAAUC